AUGGUAGCCUUUAGGGACGUUUUGGAGGUCUGUGGAUUGGUUGAUCUAGGCUUUAUUGGAGUUCCAUUCACAUAUGAUAAUAAGAGGAGUGGUGCAAGUAAUGUCAAAGUCCGUCUGGACAGAGCGGUGGCAUCCAAUGCAUGGAGGAAUCUGUUUGCGUACUCGCUGGUUGUUCAUAUUCCUUCUCCUUGCUCGGAUCAUAUAGCCAUACUGGUGAAGGGUUUAGCUGAUCCGGGUCCGACGAGGAAGAGCAGCAGAAGAUACGAGCUUUUUUGGGAACGGGAUCCUAUGUUGCCGGAGGUAAUAAGGGAAGCAUGGGAGGCUGUAGGCGGAGUCCAGAAUCUGGCACAGUUGCGAGAUACUCUCUCCAAGACCAUGAGCUCGUUGGGGGUAUGGAGUAAAAAAUUCAGAAAUAUUAGGAGAGAGCUGGCAAAGUCCCGGACUCAAUUAGAAGAAUUGAUGCACAUGAACACUGACAGAGCGGAAAUCAGGGUAAUAACGGAAAAGUGA
This 510-nucleotide ribosomal RNA is filed under the name Triticum aestivum (bread wheat). Its description in RNAcentral is "partial small subunit ribosomal RNA". Lineage: Eukaryota; Viridiplantae; Streptophyta; Magnoliopsida; Poales; Poaceae. The record is from RNAcentral.